This is a long non-coding RNA of Arachis duranensis, 580 nucleotides long. RefSeq lists it as uncharacterized. The transcript has 5 exons. The record is from RefSeq and is a predicted model, not a curated record. NCBI's taxonomy places the organism in Eukaryota, Viridiplantae, Streptophyta, Magnoliopsida, Fabales, Fabaceae.
AAUUCGUCUGAACAGAGAUUUCUGAGCAGUGAUAUAUCAGUGCCCAGCAUUUGGUAACAUAUUGUACCAUAUCUAUCCUUAUCAUCAGCAAGAACUAGAAGGGACACGUUAUCAAACAGGUUUUACAUAUACUAAGCUACAUAAGAUCAAGAAAAAUAUAUUAUUAUAAUAUGCGGGAGUAAAAUAUUCAAGAAGAAAUCUUGUCUUAGAAUAUUUGAUCUUUUGGGACUUAAAGACAAUGGCUACAGUGAGUCAAGAGAAAGCCUCCGAGCUCUGCAUGAGAUACAUUGAGGAAUAAGCAGCAAUACAGAAACAUGGGAAUACCCUUUCUGUCACUUGAGUAGAGAAGGUCAAAUAUUCUGAAACCGAAACAGUGUCAAUUGCAGAAAAGGAGAGGGAAACUUGAAAGCUAAAAUGUUGUGGAUAGUUAGCUGCAAUGGUAAAGGCAAUGCAUAUAUGAAGAGGCUUGAUUGAUUUACUUCAGGUUGGAGAAUAUGGCAGGAGAAAAGCUUCCUUUCUCUCGGUUACUAUUUCAAAUUCAACACUGUCCUUUGCCCGGCAAACGCUACAAGAAGACUUG